AAUGGAAGAAGAGGAAGGUUGCCAGAAUUAUUCUUCAAGGAAUUGCGUUCAUUAUCUAAUUAAUAGCAUUCUAUUAUUGCUUCUAAUUAACAAGACGGUGGAAGCGUAGCAUAUGUGGGUUAGUCCAGUUGGCUAGGGUAGUGAGCUUGCAACCUUGUACCUAAGUUUGAAUUCCCCUUCCCAGUAGAUUAGAUUAAUUUUGCUUAGAUUAUCACUUGUGGAAAUAGCAUCACUUGUAGAUUAGAUUAGGGAGACUUUGGAAAAGCCCAAAGGAGAGAGAAAAUUUUGAAAAGAAGCAAAAAUGGACAAAAUUGCCCUUAUUUAUUUUUUGAUUUCCUAAGAAAUCCUUUACAUUUGCAUGUCUUUGGUUUGAAAGUUGAGAGCUUAUUCUGUCUUUUUUCAAAAAGCUUUGGCUUUUUCCAAAAGUGAAAGUUUUUUUAUGGGUAAAACCUAAAUUUACUAUUAGAUUAAUAAGAGCACUGCUAUUUCCACCCCUUGUCCUAUUUUUCCACCAACCUUAUCUUCAAAAUUUUAAAGACAAAUUUACCCCUUUGUAAAAUUUGCCUCAACUUAUUACAUAACCCACCUAUUCUACCAUUUGACAAAAAGAAAAAAAG
This 617-nucleotide long non-coding RNA is filed under the name Prunus persica (peach). Its description in RNAcentral is "long non-coding RNA (PPER_LNC000147)". Lineage: Eukaryota; Viridiplantae; Streptophyta; Magnoliopsida; Rosales; Rosaceae. The record is from RNAcentral.